Betta splendens (Siamese fighting fish) is the source of this 1291-nucleotide long non-coding RNA. RefSeq lists it as uncharacterized. The record is from RefSeq and is a predicted model, not a curated record. The transcript has 2 exons. NCBI's taxonomy places the organism in Eukaryota, Metazoa, Chordata, Actinopteri, Anabantiformes, Osphronemidae.
UCAUUGAUCCUCCGUGCCCAAUCCUAACAUGACAUCAUGGAUUCAGAUGGCAAACGCAGGCAGGCAGGCAGUCGGGGUGCAGCGCGAGGAGGAAGGAAAAGUAUUAGUGGAGAUUACAUCAUCCACUCGUGCACCUCGCAGCGUAGCAACCACAGAGGUGAAAUCACCCCAGGGAGGAGGAGGAGGAGGAGGAGGAGGAAGAGGAGGCUGGGGGACAAACAAUGAAGUGCCGCGACUGGAGGCUGCAGGUGGAGUAGAUGAGUGUUUGUCUCCGGGCGCCGCAUGUAAACGCCGCACCGUGUGCUCCGUAUUUACAGCAGCGGCUACGUGAUGUAACGUGGAGAAAGCGUUUUGCGGGUGAAUGGGCAGAUCUCCCGAGUGCGCGUGGGCGUGCAAACUGCAGGUAAUAAAAGCCCCUUUGAAGGCAGGAACAGGAACUGUAAAACAAUGAAGACAAUCAAUUAAUGUCCCGCCUUUGGUUUUGACAGGUCCAUAAAUAAAGAGCAGAUGCGCGACACUAACGACUAGAAGGGUCUGUAGUGUCUGUGCACCUCGGCUUGGCCGGCGACACUUUCUUUCAACUAUAUUUUUAUUGAUUUCUUCAUUUUUUCACCUUAACUACAUGGAAACCUGAAGGGAACCUCUCGCUUCACUCGCGUCAGCGCCAACAUUCAACAGGCCGCUGCCGCUCAGACGAACUGAGGUCAAGCAGGAUCUUCACCCGCUUUUAUUCUGAAAUUCUUCUCGGCCCGUUUCCUGAGCUUUGACCCUUUGACUCUGGACGCUUCCGCGUCUUUGUACUAACAGUAAGUGAUCUCUGACCCGUGGCCGAGUUCGACCCCUCUCCACCGCUCUGUGAGGCUGUCGGGGCCUCCCCGGCGUCUCUCACCUCGGAGCCCCUCGCCGAUGCCCAGCGCCAGGCCGUCCUUGGUCCACUGCACGAUGCCGCUGUAGUUGAAGACCACGCAGGACAGCACCACGCGCUCCCCGAGCACCACCGACUGGUCGGCCGGCUCCUGGGAGAAGCGAACGCACCGCACUGCAACAGAAGGACGGAGGAGGAAUCAAUUUUAAAUCCGUCUCACCGUGACCCGGCCAAGAGCUGCCACCUUUUAUCGCACUGUAUCGACCUAUACUGUCCCUGUCUGCUCUUAUCGACUCGUGCUUGUCCAUGUGGAGACUGUUGACCUAAGUUAUUAUGUAUUAUUGUGUAUAUGCUGUUUUUUACCGUGUGUGUUGGAUUAUGAACAUCGACUGAACUCCCUUACGGGGCAAUAAAGGGUUAAACUGA